UCGUCAGCUCGUGCCGUGAGGUGUCGGCUUAAGUGCCAUAACGAGCGCAACCCCUCUCCGUAGUUGCCAUCAGGUUAAGCUGGGCACUCUGCGGACACUGCCACCGUAAGGUGUGAGGAAGGUGGGGAUGACGUCAAAUCAGCACGGCCCUUACGUCCGGGGCCACACACGUGUUACAAUGGCGCGUACAGAGAGCCGUCUGCCCGCAAGGUCAGACCAAUCAGAAAAGCGCGCCCCAGUUCGGACUGGGGUCUGCAACCCGACCCCACGAAGCUGGAUUCGCUAGUAAUCGCGCAUCAGCCAUGGCGCGGUGAAUACGUUCCCGGGCCUUGUACACACCGCCCGUCAAGCCAUGAAAGCCGGGGGUGCCUGAAGUCCGUGACCGCAAGGGGCGGCCUAGGGCAAAACCGGUGAUUGGGGCUAAGUCGUAACAAGGUAACCGUA
Molecule: ribosomal RNA, 444 nt
Filed under: uncultured bacterium
Lineage: Bacteria
Description: bacterial SSU rRNA
Rfam family: Bacterial small subunit ribosomal RNA
Source: RNAcentral